This is a non-coding RNA of Acanthosepion pharaonis, 99 nucleotides long. NCBI's taxonomy places the organism in Eukaryota, Metazoa, Mollusca, Cephalopoda, Sepiida, Sepiidae. The record is from the annotation of a GenBank genome assembly.
AUUGAAACACCAAUUCUCAUACGAUCAACGAAGUUAAGCCAUAUCGAGCCUCGUCAGUACCUUGAUGGGCGACCAGUUGGAAAUACCAGGUGCUGUAAG